CCUACGGGAGGCAGCAGUGGGGAAUAUUGCACAAUGGGGGAAACCCUGAUGCAGCAACGCCGCGUGAGUGAUGAAGGAAUUCGUUUUGUAAAGCUCUAUCAUCAGGGACGAUAAUGACGGUACCUGAGUAAGAAGCCCCGACUAACUACGUGCCAGCAGCCGCGGUAAUACGUAGGGGGCAAGCGUUAUCCGGAUUUACUGGGUGUAAAGGGAGCGUAGGCGGCAGUGCAAGUCUGAAGUGAAAGACGCGGGCUCAACCUGCGGACUGCAUUGGAAACUGUACGGCUGGAGUGCAGGAGAGGUGAGUGGAAUUCCUAGUGUAGCGGUGAAAUGCGUAGAUAUUAGGAGGAACACCAGUGGCGAAGGCGGUUCACUGGACUGUAACUGACGUUGAGGCUCGAAAGCGUGGGGAGCAAACAGGAUUAGAUACCCGUGUAGUC
This 440-nucleotide ribosomal RNA is filed under the name uncultured bacterium. RNAcentral's name for it is "partial 16S ribosomal RNA". It matches the Rfam family "Bacterial small subunit ribosomal RNA", at positions 338 to 795 of the family's 1533-position model. The record is from RNAcentral.